UUCAAUUGUAUAAUUAAAUUACUGAUUAGUAUUAGUUAAGUUCUUGAAAAUUAAAAAAUUUGGCGGUAUUUUAGUCAGUUCAGAGGAACCUGUCCUGUAAUUGAUAAUCCACGAUAAGUUUUACUUUUUCUUUUAGUUUGUAUAUCGUUGUUAUUGAAUUUCUUUUUAGGGUGAAUUUUCAUUUAUUUUUAUAUUAAUUGAUUUCAGAUCAAGGCGCAGUUUAUGAAAAAGUGGAGAUGGGUUACAAUGAAUUUAUUUAUGGUUAUUAGAUUUAAAUUUUUAAUAUAAAUUGGAUUUGACAGUAAUUAAUUUUAUUUUUCUUUAAUGAUUAUUGCUCUAAAGUAUGU
This 347-nucleotide ribosomal RNA is filed under the name Microphotus octarthrus. RNAcentral describes it as "partial 12S ribosomal RNA". Lineage: Eukaryota; Metazoa; Arthropoda; Insecta; Coleoptera; Lampyridae. The record is from RNAcentral.